GGCCCUUUAGCUCAGUGGUUAGAGCAGGCGACUCAUAAUCGCUUGGUCGCUGGUUCAAGUCGAGCAAGGGCCACCA
Molecule: transfer RNA, 76 nt
Filed under: Escherichia coli
Lineage: Bacteria; Pseudomonadati; Pseudomonadota; Gammaproteobacteria; Enterobacterales; Enterobacteriaceae
Description: tRNA-Ile
Rfam family: tRNA
About the family: Transfer RNA (tRNA) molecules are approximately 80 nucleotides in length.
Source: RNAcentral